GUCGUAAAAGGGGACGCGGAGGAGAAGGAAAGUCGCUCAAGCAGUGGACAGAGCGGAGAAAGCGACUUCGGCCGCAGAGAGAAGAAGCUGCCCAAGAAUGGAAAGGAAGAAAUAUAUCACAUCAUCUGUCUGUCCACAGGCUUUCCUUGGGGCUUAUGAAGUGAAUGAAGGAGGGAAGAAAGGAGAGACAGAGAAAAUAUGGAUUUCCUCAUGGUUGUGAUUCCUCUUCACUCUUUUGAAUUUGGAAGGAUGGCAUACACAUCUGAAAAAUACCACUACUUCCUUCAUUGGACUGCAAGGUAUUUCUGUUUGGAAAAGUAAUGGAGUCCAGUCAACUUCAUUGAUCGCCAAGGACUGUCAAAAUUAUAAAACUUGCUGUGGAGCUCUGACAUGCCAGAAGCCGCUAGAAAAAGAAGUUUGACAUUCAGAAACUUAUCAAGAGGUUCUACUCUUUGGAUAGAGACCAAAAUCAUACUUUGAAAAAGCCUGACAGGUUUCUUCGGAAAAGUGGCCAUCCAUGGAAUGAAUGAAAUGUUCUCUUUCUAUUCCAGGGAUUGCAGUGGCAAAGCUAGGCUAGGUCUUGGAGGCUGGUGUAAGGCGAUGUGGGUGAAGGCAGGAGGCUGAUGGAAAGACUGGGGGGAAGAAAAGCCGAAAUGGAUUCACGGUGCCUUGGAUGAAGGACGAGAGGGGAACUGCAAGCUCCUUCAACUGGUUCUGUCCGGUGAGAAGUGAUCAAGCUUGGGCUGACAAGAGGCUCAGGGAGCCCUCACGUUCUUUCGCUUUUUUACCUGCCAAUCAAACUGCUACAAGACAACACCCUGAUCUGGCAUGGACAUCGCGGGUCCAAGCCUGUAGCCCCAAAUCGGAUAAUCUCUGCAGCUGAUAACAAGCAAAAGAGAAGCCAGGCAACAGCCAUAUUAAAGAAGAAAACAAUCAACUCUGAGGAUGGCUGCCAGGGAAUAGAUGAAAGGCAGAAGUGGCGAUGGGUGACUGAUGUGGCACACUUAUGAAGAAAAGCCUCUUUUUCCAUGCUUGUUUUUCCUCCCCAAGGAGCCAACAGAGUUUCUAUUCUCCAACUCUGCUCUUCACCUUACCCAAGUCAUUGCAGUCACCUGGAGUCACGGAAAUGACCAUGAUUGCCUGAACUUUCAUGACUUCUGUGGAUAACUGUGGUUGCAGAAAAGAGAAAACCUGGACCGUGAGGGACAUUUCACUCCCUGGGCUUUGGCCUCCCUACAGCGUUGGCUCAGCUCUAGCUACUUGGAAGGUCGUGGCAAUGCUGUCUCAGAAUGUCCGUUUCUAGAGUACAGAGAAGAAAUUCUAGCUUGACGUCCACGUGCAUUUGUCUGUGUUUCAGAGGAAAUUCCAAUUCUAAACUCUUGGAAGAAACAAUUUCUCGGCAUGCUGAAGAGAAUUGCUGUUUUUUGGCACCUGAAACACUUUUACCCAAGGGUUCUGAUUAUUUAAAUAAUUGGUAUGCUAUAAAUAUUCUGGUUGACAGAAAUGUGGUUUAAUGUAGAUGAGUUGUAAAAACAUGAGACAAACAUGCUCCAGGCUAAAAAUAUCUGGAUUAAAAAAGAAAAA
Homo sapiens (human) is the source of this 1584-nucleotide long non-coding RNA. Ensembl annotates it as SOX2 overlapping transcript. Its record names the gene SOX2-OT. NCBI's taxonomy places the organism in Eukaryota, Metazoa, Chordata, Mammalia, Primates, Hominidae. The record is from Ensembl.